UACUUUCUUUUCCUUGCCUUUCAAUUGCAAAUGGAUGACACGACAAAUUUGAUCCUGAGGAUAUUGUGACAAAUCACCGUCAAGUUGUUGUAGGCCUUUACAAUUAACUGUACAGAUAUGAAGAUGUUUGUUUAACACAAUAGUUGAUAAGAAGACAGCUCUGACUGGUUUUGAAUGAUAGAAUGUGACCAGAUCAAUAAAAAAUGGAUUUUUAUCAUUAUAACUUUAUUAGAAAUUUUUAACAGUUUGCUUGAUAAUGAUUGUUUGAAAUAAGCAGUUUGGUGCCAAUAAAAAGCUUUGUAUGUUA
This is a long non-coding RNA of Mytilus californianus (California mussel), 307 nucleotides long. RefSeq lists it as uncharacterized. The transcript is spliced from 3 exons. The record is from RefSeq and is a predicted model, not a curated record. NCBI's taxonomy places the organism in Eukaryota, Metazoa, Mollusca, Bivalvia, Mytilida, Mytilidae.